CUCUGCCUUGUACCUGAUCUUAGUGGGAAACUUUUAAGUUUCUCACCAUUAAACAUGAUGUUAGCUGGAGGUUUUUUGUAGAUAGUGUUUAUCAAAUUGAGGAAUUUCCCCUCUGUUCCCAGUUUACUGAGAUAUUUUAUUAUGAGUGGGGGUUG
This is a long non-coding RNA of Aethalodelphis obliquidens (Pacific white-sided dolphin), 155 nucleotides long. RefSeq lists it as uncharacterized. The transcript is spliced from 4 exons. Lineage: Eukaryota; Metazoa; Chordata; Mammalia; Artiodactyla; Delphinidae. The record is from RefSeq and is a predicted model, not a curated record.